RNAcentral lists this ribosomal RNA (390 nucleotides) under Dorymenia sp. ALMNH Inv 24162. RNAcentral describes it as "partial large subunit ribosomal RNA". It matches the Rfam family "Bacterial large subunit ribosomal RNA", at positions 1857 to 2540 of the family's 2925-position model. Lineage: Eukaryota; Metazoa; Mollusca; Solenogastres; Cavibelonia; Proneomeniidae. The record is from RNAcentral.
GCCUGCCCAGUGAAACUAACUAAACGGCCGCAGAAUAUUAACUGUGCUAAGGUAGCAUAAUCAUUUGUCUCCUAAUUAGAGACUAGUAUGAACGGCUAAACGAAAUUUUACUGUCUCUUUUAUACCAAAUAAAAUUUAAUCUUAAAGUCAAAAAGCUUUAAUAUAAUAAAAAGACAAAAAGACCCCAUAGAGUUUAAUUUUAAUAUACUAUAAAAAUAUAGAUAAAAAAUUUAGUUGGGGCAACUAAGAAAAAACAAAUUUUUCUAUAUAAAAAAAAUAUAACUUAUCAUUAAAUUAAUAACACAAAACAAAUUACCUUGGGGAUAACAGCAUAAAUUUCUUUGAGAGUCCAAAUCGAAAAGAAAAAUUAUGACCUCGAUGUUGGAUUAA